RNAcentral lists this ribosomal RNA (220 nucleotides) under uncultured bacterium. RNAcentral describes it as "partial 16S ribosomal RNA". The record is from RNAcentral.
CGCCUCCCUCCGCCGCCACUACACGACUACCGUACGGGACGGGACGAGCGAGGUAGGGUAAGUUUGUCGCAAGUACGGGGAACCGUACGACGCAGACAACGACCGCGUGGAGGAGUAGUAAAUACCCUUCGGUAGUGUAAACUACCUUUCGUAUAGGAAGAUAAUGACGGUACCUAUAGAAGAAGCCCGGCUAACUUCGUGCCAGCAGCCGCGGUAAUAC